RNAcentral lists this ribosomal RNA (483 nucleotides) under uncultured bacterium. RNAcentral's name for it is "partial 16S ribosomal RNA". It matches the Rfam family "Bacterial small subunit ribosomal RNA", at positions 30 to 506 of the family's 1533-position model. The record is from RNAcentral.
AUUGAACGCUGGCGGCAGGCCUAACACAUGCAAGUCGAGCGGAUGAAGGGAGCUUGCUCCUGGAUUCAGCGGCGGACGGGUGAGUAAUGCCUAGGAAUCUGCCUGGUAGUGGGGGAUAACGUCCGGAAACGGGCGCUAAUACCGCAUACGUCCUGAGGGAGAAAGUGGGGGAUCUUCGGACCUCACGCUAUCAGAUGAGCCUAGGUCGGAUUAGCUAGUUGGUGGGGUAAAGGCCUACCAAGGCGACGAUCCGUAACUGGUCUGAGAGGAUGAUCAGUCACACUGGAACUGAGACACGGUCCAGACUCCUACGGGAGGCAGCAGAGGGGAAUAUUGGACAAUGGGCGAAAGCCUGAUCCAGCCAUGCCGCGUGUGUGAAGAAGGUCUUCGGAUUGUAAAGCACUUUAAGUUGGGAGGAAGGGCAGUAAGUUAAGACCUUGCUGUUUUGACGUUACCAACAGAAUAAGCACCGGCUAACUUCGU